Molecule: non-coding RNA, 28 nt
Filed under: Mus musculus (house mouse)
Lineage: Eukaryota; Metazoa; Chordata; Mammalia; Rodentia; Muridae
Source: RNAcentral
UNCCAUUAGCACUUCAGGAAUGCCAUAA